RNAcentral lists this ribosomal RNA (365 nucleotides) under uncultured bacterium. Its description in RNAcentral is "bacterial SSU rRNA". It matches the Rfam family "Bacterial small subunit ribosomal RNA", at positions 28 to 409 of the family's 1533-position model. The record is from RNAcentral.
GACUAACGCUGGCGGAAUGCCUCAUACAUGCAAGUCGCACGGGCCUUCGGGCUAGUGGCGGACGGGUGAGUAACACGUAGGUAACGUGCCUUGUGCUGGGGACAACAGAUGGAAACGUCUGCUAAUACCGCAUAAGACAGUGGUUGAAAUACUGCUGUUUAAAGCCUCGGCGGCACAAGAUCGGCCUGCGUCGGAUUAGCUUGUUGGUAGGGUAAUGGCCUACCAAGGCGACGAUCCGUAACUGGUCUGAGAGGAUGACCAGUCACAGUGGGACUGAGACACGGCCCACACUCCUACGGGAGGCAGCAGUAGGGAAUAUUGCGACAAUGGGCGAAAGCCUGACGCAGCAAUCCCGCGUGGAGGAU